Molecule: ribosomal RNA, 253 nt
Filed under: uncultured bacterium
Lineage: Bacteria
Description: partial 16S ribosomal RNA
Rfam family: Bacterial small subunit ribosomal RNA
Source: RNAcentral
UACGAAGGGGGCUAGCGUUGUUCGGAAUUACUGGGCGUAAAGCGCACGUAGGCGGGUUUGUAAGUCGAUUGUGAAAGCCCCGGGCUCAAUCCGGGAACUGCAGUCGAAACUACAAGUCUUGAAUGCUCUAGAGGGUGACGGAAUUCCUGGUGUAGAAGUGAAAUGCGUAGAUAUCAGGAGGAACACCGGAGGCGAAGGCGGUUGCCUGGAGAUGCAUUGACGCUGAGGUGCGAAAGCGUGGGGAGCAAACAGG